UAUAUAAACACAAUACGAAGGACGCCUCGGUUUGUUCUGGGAUUCUCGCCCUAUCAGCAGGACGCUCUCCGUUAUCUUCAAGACUCCGACCAAUAAUUUCUGUUUUCCAAGAUGCAACGUCCGUUGCUGCUAUUGCUUGUUGUCGGUGUAGUUUUCGCCAAGCAAGAAGACGAACUUGGCCUAAAGACCUGUCCCGGGGUUAUUACGAAUGCAAGGAGGACGUUGCAUCCCAGAACUGAGGCUUUGUGACGGAAUCCAAGACUGCAUCAUGGGAGAUGACGAAGUAGGAUGUUCAAAGCUAGAAGAGACACCAGAGACUUGCCCUAAUGGGUAUUAUCAGUGUGACGGAGGAGUUUGCAUCCCACAGCAAUAUGUCUGCGAUGGAAUUCAGGACUGUAUUGUGGGAGAUGACGAGAAGAACUGCAGUGGAUAGGAUUAGACCACGUUCCCAAGGAGGACACUGAUUGCCCCUGAGGAUAUGACUGCAAAUUCUAAAUGGUUUUUUGAUAUACUGCAAAUUACUCUGAUUGCCUGAUUGCGCUUUGUGAAGCAUCAAUUCCUUCAGAAGUAAAAUUCAUUAUUUUAU
This is a long non-coding RNA of Macrobrachium nipponense, 586 nucleotides long. RefSeq lists it as uncharacterized. NCBI's taxonomy places the organism in Eukaryota, Metazoa, Arthropoda, Malacostraca, Decapoda, Palaemonidae. The record is from RefSeq and is a predicted model, not a curated record. The transcript has 4 exons.